GGUGGAUGUAGUUCAAUGGUAGAGCAACUGUGUGUGGCUCAGUCCGUUCCUUGUUCGAAUCAGGGUAUCCAAC
This 73-nucleotide transfer RNA is filed under the name Pseudofabraea citricarpa. Its description in RNAcentral is "tRNA-His". It matches the Rfam family "tRNA". Rfam says of the family: Transfer RNA (tRNA) molecules are approximately 80 nucleotides in length. Their secondary structure includes four short double-helical elements and three loops (D, anti-codon, and T loops). Further hydrogen bonds mediate the characteristic L-shaped molecular structure. tRNAs have two regions of fundamental functional importance: the anti-codon, which is responsible for specific mRNA codon recognition, and the 3' end, to which the tRNAs corresponding amino acid is attached (by aminoacyl-tRNA synthetases). tRNAs cope with the degeneracy of the genetic code in two manners: having more than one tRNA (with a specific anti-codon) for a particular amino acid; and 'wobble' base-pairing, i.e. permitting non-standard base-pairing at the 3rd anti-codon position. Lineage: Eukaryota; Fungi; Ascomycota; Leotiomycetes; Helotiales; Dermateaceae. The record is from RNAcentral.